UCUCCCUUUCAUCAUUCUCCAUUUUGGUAAUUGCAUUGAAAUUUCUUUGCUGUUUCAACUUUUGGUAAAAGUAAGCAGUACAUCUGUCAUUAUCCCUUAGCCAUUUUAACCUGAAUUUCUGAGCCACAAAUAUUUCUUCAUCAGCAAUAGCUGCUUCAUAUUCCUCUCUGGCCUUUUGUUCGUCAUCUAGAAGUACAUCUUAUGGAUCCUUGAGACGGCUAUCUUGAACUAUUUCUAACCUCAGUGUAGACUUCAUAACCUUAUCUCCCACAUCUCCAAAGACAUUUUUAUUCCACUCCUUGACAGCCUUUUUAACAUCCCUGAGCUUACUCAACAGUCUGUGCAUUGGAGAUCCCUCUACCUCAAUAUCCCAUGCUUGUUGAAUCAAAGGGAAUGUCACUACCAGUCUUAUCUUUCUUGUCCCGAUGUACUGCUCUAUCUCUCUGUAUCUUACAUGUGUAAUGUAUUAUGUAUUAUGUAUGUACUUAUAUAUAUAUAUAUAUAUAUGGCUUCAUAUGUUAGUAACGAAUUUCUUUUUGCAGAUGGACUAUUGUUGUAAUCCUUACUAAACAAAACAUAGACACGUAUAAAUCACAUUUCUACCUAGCUGCCACCAUAAAUUGUGCUAUGUGGACUUUUUAUACUAGUCCUAAUGUUCUACAUAACUUCAAGUAAUGCAAGAAACAAUAUUCUAAGAAAUUGAAGUAUGCUCUACAUAACUUCAAGUAAUUUAUUAGCAUAUUUAUUUAUAUAUAGUAGAAAGUUUUUUUAUUAGGUUGGCAUGUGGCCUAUUUCAUUGAGUAUCCGCAAAUUAAUUUUGUCAUGUCUACAUUAUUAUGGAAAGGAUUCCAUUUGACUUCUCUUCAGUAAUUAGCAUAAAAAUAUGUACGUGCAUACACAACUUUUAAAAGUUAAAAAUAUAUCCUUAUAAUGGAAGGAAAAAAAAAAUGACACUUCAGGAGUAUGAGAUAUGAAUGGCUAUCAUUUUGUGAAUCCUUGGGCCAUUCAUUUUUUAUUUCUCUUUCCCUCUAAAAGUUGGGUAUUCAUUUGUAUUGUUAUUUGGUUAUCUAAUUUCUAUAUUUCCUUCUUGUUAGAUUUAUAGUUUUGUAGAAAACGCAAGAAGUAUAUAUUAAGAAUGAAUUUGGAAUAUAAGACAUGAUCCCAAUCUUUGAAUUUGGUGCGAUAGAAAUUUUUUCUUUACCAUGAGGCUCAGGUGUCCGGAAUGUUUGGGACUAACCUUCUUGGGGUGUCUGGAAUGUUUGCUUCACUUGACUUAUGUACCGGACUUUGCAAUCAAUGAUGAUCUUCCAUUGGUGCCUUAACAUGGAGGCUUUGUUGAGGUGCUCAACAUUUGAAAUGCCAAGAACCCUUGUUCUUUAGGCUUAUAAACAUCGACUUAAGCCUUUUUGUUGUUGAGACGACUGAUUACCUGACCAAAGAUAAUUCCUGCACAGGCUGUUAAUAUGAACAUACAAGGAUGGAUGGAUUGAAUAAGUUGAAUCUCUUUGUAAUUUUUUCCACUAAAGCUCUCAGCAUUGUGUUGUAUCCUAAGGUUAGAGAUAACGAGCUGAGUGGAUGGUUCUACUCCACAGAAGAUGAUUGAGCUCUUGGAGUGGUUUAUGCUAAAGCUCAAAAAUGGAUGAAAAGAUGUUUUAAGGCAUUAUAUAUGGUGGAAUACACCAACAGACUCAACACCUCUAAGGAUCCAAUGCGAGACAAGACCCUACUUGAAAUUUUUGCAUAAUUUGUAUGCUUUUAUCAUCUAUAUGGCUGUGGGAUUCCAUACAAUUCUUACUUCCAAACCUGCAAAUAGUAGUAAACUGCAAAAUCAAUACGUUCAAGCUUGCAUUUGCUGUUUUGGACUUGGGGAUUUGAUUGAAUUUAUUGACUUUUUGUAUA
Long non-coding RNA from Cornus florida, 1899 nucleotides. RefSeq lists it as uncharacterized. The record is from RefSeq and is a predicted model, not a curated record. NCBI's taxonomy places the organism in Eukaryota, Viridiplantae, Streptophyta, Magnoliopsida, Cornales, Cornaceae. The transcript has 2 exons.